GAUGAACGCUGGCGGCGUGCCUAAUACAUGCAAGUCGAGCGAACAGACGAGGAGCUUGCUCCUCUGACGUUAGCGGCGGACGGGUGAGUAACACGUGGAUAACCUACCUAUAAGACUGGGAUAACUUCGGGAAACCGGAGCUAAUACCGGAUAAUAUAUUGAACCGCAUGGUUCAAUAGUGAAAGACGGUUUUGCUGUCACUUAUAGAUGGAUCCGCGCCGCAUUAGCUAGUUGGUAAGGUAACGGCUUACCAAGGCAACGAUGCGUAGCCGACCUGAGAGGGUGGUCGGCCACACUGGAACUGAGACACGGUCAAGACUCCUACGGGAGGGAGCAGUAGGGAAUCUUCCGCAAUGGGCGAAAGCCUGACGGAGCAGCGCCGCGUGAGUGAUGAAGGUCUUCGGAUCGUAAAACUCUGUUAUUAGGGAAGAACAAAUGUGUAAGUAAAUAUGCACGUCUUGACGGUACCUGAUCAGAAAGCCACGGCUAACUACGUG
Molecule: ribosomal RNA, 497 nt
Filed under: uncultured bacterium
Lineage: Bacteria
Description: partial 16S ribosomal RNA
Rfam family: Bacterial small subunit ribosomal RNA
Source: RNAcentral